This is an RNA transcript of Medicago truncatula (barrel medic), 3921 nucleotides long. It is a transcript of the gene named chaperone protein dnaJ 49, with no coding region annotated. NCBI's taxonomy places the organism in Eukaryota, Viridiplantae, Streptophyta, Magnoliopsida, Fabales, Fabaceae. The transcript has 2 exons. The record is from RefSeq and is a predicted model, not a curated record.
UUAGUUAGAAAAAACAUCAUAAUUACUUGUCGAGAAGGAACAACAAUGCCGACACUGUUCUGAAACACAAACAAUCUUCGCUCUAAGUUGGUAGCUUCUUCCAUUUUACCGAUUAGGUUCCCGAUUCAAUUUCCGAUUAGGUCAAAAUCGACGCCAUGGAAGGUAACAAAGACGAAGCUUUACGAUGCAUUCAAAUCGCAGAAGAAGCAAUCUCAUCAGGUAACAAAUCUCGCGCUCUCAAAUUCAUCAAAAUCGCUCAACGCCUCAACCACGAUUUACCACUCGAUUCCCUCUUCGCCAAAUGCGAACACCUUGAUUCUCAGUCCACCGCUUCUUCAUCCGGCGUCGGUGCAUCGCCGGCGAAGGAUAGACCAGGAAGAAUCAACAAAAACGAUGGAUUGAAUGGUGAGAAGAAUUACACGGAGGAGAAUGUUAAGUUGAUUAGGGAAAUUAAAGGGAAAAGUGAUUAUUAUUCGAUUUUAGGGUUAGAGAAGAGUUGUUCUGUUGAAGAGAUUAGGAAAGCUUAUAGGAAAUUGUCUUUGAAAGUUCAUCCUGAUAAGAAUAAAGCACCGGGUUCCGAAGAUGCGUUUAAGAAAGUUUCUAAGGCUUUUAAGUGUUUGAGUGAUGAUGGGACUAGAAGGGAUUAUGAUCAAGGAGGGUUAGUUGAUGAAUUUGAUUCUGGUUAUGGUCAGAAUCAUAGUUUUAGGAGAAGGAGGAGACGGGCUGCGACGAGUCAUGAUAUUUUCGAAGAUGAAUUUGAUCCCGAUGAGAUAUUUAGAGCGUUCUUUGGUCAAUCGGAUGUGUUUGGGGGGAGGAGGAAUCAUGUUUAUAGGACACAUGGCGGUGGUGGAAUGGGUCAUCAUCAUCAUCAUCAGAGACCUGAGGUUCAGGGUGGAGGAGGACAUCAUCUUAUGUUGUUGAUUCAGCUUCUGCCGUUGUUGAUUAUUGUUUUGCUUGCUUACUUGCCCUUUUCGGAGCCUGAAUAUUCGUUGCACAAGAAUCAGUCCUACCAGAUUCGGAAGGUUACUGAGGAUUAUGGGGUUGAGUUUUUCGUGAAAUCUCAGGCGUUUGACGUUAAUUAUCCGAUUGGAAGUUUGGCUCGCGAGACCAUUGAGGAUACUGUUAUUAAGGAUUAUAGGAAUAUGCUUCGUCGUUAUUGUCAACUGGAGAUUCAGAGGCGUACUUGGAAUAGGCAUUUGCCUAUUCCUCACUGUGAUAAGCUAAAAAACUUUGGCGUUGUAGCUUGAAGGUAACCCUUUAUUUCGGUGAAGGAUGUGUAAUAUGUUUCAUGCACUCAGUUUUAUGUUGUUUACUAUCGAUGGAACGUCUUUUAAUGGAUUGAAAUACUUUUACGUUUAUUUUCACUGCCUUUUGUUGGAUGCUGAUCAUGUUGAACUGAAAACAGUUUUAAAUUAAUAAAACCCUUUAUCCCGUGUUAUAUUACUGCUCGAUAAAUUAAUGGGGAGUGUGCAGUAAGUUUUCUAUGGAUGAGAUAAGAGAAAUCACACCGGUGCUUUCUGUACCAAGGUUUCAGAUAUAUUUAUACACUUACUGGAUGUGGUUACUUUUCUCGUUGACAUGACAGUUGUAUUUGUAUCCCACUAAAUACAACUCUAAUUAGGUUAUGCCAGUGAAAGUGGUUGUCAAAUUUAGCUCUCUAUAGCGAAGUUUCAUUUGACAAUCUAGAUUUUGUAAAGGUGAAUUGCUCAAGUGAGUUUUACUCUUCAUAUUGACAUAUCUCCUACAACAACGGCAUUCUCAUUUCUUCAUGCAGAUCUGAUUUGUUUAUUUAAAUAUUAGUAAAUGUUUAAUGUCAUGUUCCGGUAAUUUGCUUCUGUUAAGAUAUUAGGAACUCUUGGGGUAUAUCUUUGCUUUCUGUUAGGAUAUUAGGGGGUAUGUUAAUUUGCUUUCUGUAAGGAUGUUAGGACAACUCAUUUAUACUCUUUUUUAAUAUUAUUUUUUAAGUUAUGUUAUUUUUGAAUUCUGUUUUAUAAUUUUGUAGUUAUGUGGUUGCAACUUAUGCUAUUUUAUAUCGAUCGGUUUCAUUGUUGUUCACUUUUUUGUAUUUUAUUUUUAUUUCUGAUGCUUUUUUGUGUCAACUUAUAUAUGGGACAACACUGGUUUAAGAGAGGGCAAGAGGUAGGGCUGAAGUGGAGGUACUGGGGCUAUCCCAAAAGCAAGGGGGGAAGAAUCAAGAAUUCUGCAAAGGGGGUCUGACUUUAAGACAGAGAGUUAAACUGGGAAAUUAGUUAUUGGACUCUUGAAGACAGAGAGUUAAAUGGGGAAAUUAAUCAAACAAGUGUACUUUUAGAUUGACCCAAGUCUGAAUAGAAAGGGGGGCCCCAACACAAUCAUGCCUCAGCAAUAGUAGAAUGGGAUUGCUACAUAGAUGAUCACUCAAUGGCAGCCCUUAAAGAUAGAUCUUGGAUGCACUAUUGAGUUGAGCAUGAAGAGAUCUUGGAUGAAUUGCACAUUAAUUUCAGAGAUAUGUUUAUGAUAUUUUCAGUUUUAAAUUCGAGGAUAAGGUUGAAUUUCAGGGUUGAGGUAUUGUAAGGAAAGAACAGAAGAGGAUGCAAAAGUAGUUAGGGAAGCUAGAUGGGGGGGUUAAUUAGUAACAGUGAUCGGGGGAAUGCAGGGGAAGAAUGAUCAUUUCGUACAUUUUAUGGCUAGUGAGGAAAAGUAAUUAUCAUCUGAAGGAAAAACCUUUGGGGGGAAUUAUAUAUCUCUAUUUUUUUGUUCAAUUCCCAGCAAUAGACUUGCUAUAUCCUUUUGGUUCUUUCCAUCUUUGUUUCCUUAUUGGUUCUUUCCAUCUUUGUUUCCUUACAAUUUCUUGGGGUUCGUAACACCUUACCUAUAGAACUUUACCUAAUUCUUUUUCUCCCUGUCUGUUAAUUUGCCAUUGAAAUCCUACUUUGUCACCAACAUGCUCUGCUUUGUUUUGAACUUUUGUUGGGAUUCCUGUACAAGCCAUGGCAAUUGCAAAUUCUCAACCCUGUCCCAAAUGAAAAUUAAAAGAUUAAAUGAACAUUCUCAAUAUAUAUUAUGAGUUUAGAAAAGUAUUGCUAGGGAAAAAGGAUAUCUGAUAGGAAGAAUAAAGGGGAGACAAACAAAACUAGCAUAUUUCAUCAGCUCUUAAGUUACAUAGUUUCAAUUGUACAUGUAAUAUAUAUGUGAUUCAGUGUUGGGAAGUAAAGAACCGUCAAUAAAGUAAACGUGGUGUCACAAAGAUGAGAAUGUUACGAUAGACGAGUAGUUACAAAGGACAAGAUAAGAUUAUAAAUACAAUAUUUGAGAGGGCAUUGAGAUGGUUCCCGUGGUAGAAAAAUGGCAGAGUCUCGUCUCUGGGAUCCUAAUAGAUAGGGAGAGACCAAGAAAAUUUAUAGGCCAAACUGCCAAAUCAUUGAGAGAAGAUGAGCAAAAGUGACUUCACGGAUAUCGUGUGCUUGGCUUGAGGAGUUUUGUAUCAAUUGCUCAGCUUUAUUCUUCAGGAUGGAUAAUAGGAGUAACCCUUGUCGCAAGCGAAAUGCUACAUUAGUAUCUGGCUAUCUGCCAGUCAAGUGCCAUGCUGACCUUGCUGUGAUGUAUUUUUGAUAAAUAUGCAUAAAAAAUGUGUUUCUUAUUGUUGAAGGGAUAUUUGGAUGGGAUUAUCUGUUAUGCUAUAACGGGUUACCGAUUGUGGAGAAGAUGACAUCAAAUAAUUGAACAAAUCGUGAGUAUCAGUAGCAAGGUUCUUGCAAGCUCGUGAGUCGGGCUUAUACUGUAAUAUUUUUGAGGGGAACAACUUAAAUACAGUUGACAUAUGCUUAUUACUCGAUUGAAAACAAAAAUUUGAAAGCAAUCUAUUGUUACAUUCAAAUGAAUGAAUAUUCCUUCUUGUGAGGAAGCCAUACAAUCAUUGAAUUGAAGUUGAUUUUUGACAUA